UUCCGUAGGUGACCUGCGGAGGGAUCAUUACCGAGUUUACAACUCCCAAACCCCUGUGAACAUACCUAUCGUUGCCUCGGCGGUGCCCGCUCCGGCGGCCCGCCAGAGGACCCCAAACUCUUGUUUUAUACAGUAUCUUCUGAGUAACACGAUUAAAUAAAUCAAAACUUUCAACAACGGAUCUCUUGGUUCUGGCAUCGAUGAAGAACGCAGCGAAAUGCGAUAAGUAAUGUGAAUUGCAGAAUUCAGUGAAUCAUCGAAUCUUUGAACGCACAUUGCGCCCGCCAGUAUUCUGGCGGGCAUGCCUGUUCGAGCGUCAUUUCAACCCUCAAGCCCCCGGGCUUGGUGUUGGGGAUCGGCGUGCCCUCGCGGCGCGCCGUCCCCGAAAUCUAGUGGCGGUCUCGCUGUAGCUUCCUCUGCGUAGUAGCACACCUCGCACUGGAAAGCAGCGCGGCCACGCCGUUAAACCCCCCACUUCUGAAAGGUUGACCUCGGAUCAGGUAGGAAUACCCGCUGAACUUAAGCAUAUCAAAAGGCGGAGGAA
This 544-nucleotide ribosomal RNA is filed under the name Neonectria obtusispora. RNAcentral describes it as "eukaryotic LSU rRNA". The stretch from base 166 to 319 matches the Rfam family "5.8S ribosomal RNA". The record is from RNAcentral. Lineage: Eukaryota; Fungi; Ascomycota; Sordariomycetes; Hypocreales; Nectriaceae.